Molecule: ribosomal RNA, 250 nt
Filed under: uncultured bacterium
Lineage: Bacteria
Description: partial 16S ribosomal RNA
Rfam family: Bacterial small subunit ribosomal RNA
Source: RNAcentral
UACAGAGGCGGCAAGCGUUGUUCGGAAUUAUUGGGCGUAAAGAGCACGUAGGCGGCUGUGUAAGUCGGUUGUGAAAGCCUUCCGCUCAACGGAAGAACGGCAUCCGAUACUGCAUGGCUUGAGUGUGGGAGGGGAGAGUGGAACUUCUGGUGGAGCGGUGAAAUGCGUAGAGAUCCGGAGGAACACCAGUGGCGAAGGCGGCCACCUGGACUGUACCUGACGCUCAAACGCGAAAGCUAGGGGAGCGAAC